GAUGAACGCUGGCGGCGUGCCUAAUACAUGCAAGUCGAGCGAACAGACGAGGAGCUUGCUCCUCUGAUGUUAGCGGCGGACGGGUGAGUAACACGUGGAUAACCUACCUAUAAGACUGGGAUAACUUCGGGAAACCGGAGCUAAUACCGGAUAACAUGUUGAACCGCAUGGUUCAACAGUGAAAGACGGUCUUGCUGUCACUUAUAGAUGGAUCCGCGCCGCAUUAGCUAGUUGGUAAGGUAACGGCUUACCAAGGCAACGAUGCGUAGCCGACCUGAGAGGGUGAUCGGCCACACUGGAACUGAGACACGGUCCAGACUCCUACGGGAGGCAGCAGUAGGGAAUCUUCCGCAAUGGGCAAAAGCCUGACGGAGCAACGCCGCGUGAGUGAAGAAGGUCUUCGGAUCGUAAAACUCUGUUAUUAGGGAAGAACAAAUGUGUAAGUAACUAUGCACGUCUUGACGGUACCUAAUCAGAAAGCCACGGCUAACUACGUG
Molecule: ribosomal RNA, 497 nt
Filed under: uncultured bacterium
Lineage: Bacteria
Description: partial 16S ribosomal RNA
Rfam family: Bacterial small subunit ribosomal RNA
Source: RNAcentral